UAGCACUAGCUGGGUCCGGUGUGCAGCUGACAACUUUUCCGUGAAUUUCUAACACCUUAGACCGUCCUGUGAGGGGUGUAGCACAGCCUACUGUUCCCCAUAUAGGAUGGCAAGUCUCUGGGAAUCUGCCUGUCUCCGCCUCUCCAGUGCUGGGGUCAUAGGUGAGUUACAUCACCUGCCCUUUAAACGUGCUUUCUGGUGAUUGGACUCUGGUCCUCAUGCUUCCAAGUCCUCACCAGCCUGGUCCAUGGCGCGCACGUUUUCAUUAUGAUCUUGUGGGCAUGAAGUUGGAUCUCACUGUGCUUUCAAUUCACAGUUCCCUGAUGACUAACAC
Molecule: long non-coding RNA, 334 nt
Organism: Meriones unguiculatus (Mongolian gerbil)
Lineage: Eukaryota; Metazoa; Chordata; Mammalia; Rodentia; Muridae
Exons: 3
Source: RefSeq, a predicted model, not a curated record